UACGUAGGGGGCGAGCGUUGUCCGGAAUUAUUGGGCGUAAAGAGCGUGUAGGCGGCUCGGUAAGUCCGCCGUGAAAACCCGGGGCUCAACCCCGGGCGUUGCGGUGGAUACUGUCGGGCUAGAGGAUGGUAGAGGCGAGUGGAAUUCCCGGUGUAGCGGUGAAAUGCGCAGAUAUCGAGAGGAACACCUGUGGCGAAGGCGGGUAGCUGGGCCGACACUGACGCUGAGGCGCGAAAGCUA
This 240-nucleotide ribosomal RNA is filed under the name uncultured bacterium. RNAcentral describes it as "partial 16S ribosomal RNA". It matches the Rfam family "Bacterial small subunit ribosomal RNA", at positions 524 to 762 of the family's 1533-position model. The record is from RNAcentral.